CUAAGGUGAUCAUUAAUUGAG
Molecule: non-coding RNA, 21 nt
Organism: Caenorhabditis elegans
Lineage: Eukaryota; Metazoa; Nematoda; Chromadorea; Rhabditida; Rhabditidae
Source: Ensembl